GGACCAUCUAUAUACAGCCUCCAAAACUAGAUAAGAUUGAUGAAACUAAGAAGUGCAUGCUGACAGGAACUGGAUAUAGAUGUCUCCUGAGAGACACAGCCAGUGCAUGUCAAAUACAGAGGCCAAUGCUAGCAGCUAAUCUUUGAACUGAGAAUGAGACCCCAUUGGAGGAACUAGAGAACAUAUUGAAAGAGCUGAAGGGAUUUGCAAUCCAAUAAGAACAAUGCCAACCAACCAGAGCUCCCAGGGACUAAACCACUACCCAAAGACUAUACAUGGAUUGACCCAUGGCUCCAGCUGCAUAUGUAGCAGAAGAUGGCCUUCUUUGGCACCAAAGGAAGGAAAAAUCCUUUGGUUCUUCCUAGGUUGGACCCCCAGUGUAGGGAAAUGUUGGGUAGGAAUGGAAGGUCGCUGGAGAAAGAAACACCUUUAUAGAAAGGAAGUGGGAGGGCAUAAAUGUUUUAUGGACAGGAAACCAGGAAAAGGAAUAACAUUUGAAAUGUAAAUAAAACAUAUAUCCAAUAACAUUAAAAAUAAAAACCUAGAAUAUUCAUGCAUUUUCACAA
RNAcentral lists this long non-coding RNA (566 nucleotides) under Rattus norvegicus (Norway rat). RNAcentral's name for it is "long non-coding RNA NONRATT021894". The record is from RNAcentral. Lineage: Eukaryota; Metazoa; Chordata; Mammalia; Rodentia; Muridae.